CAGUGAUCCACUAACUUUUCCUAUCAGAGAUCUAGACGGACCUGAAAAUAGCACCUCCUGUAGUUCCCGCCUAAACAGUAUCGAAAGAUUGAUCUAGAAGCUUUGACAGAGUUUUAGCUCUUUAUGUCUGCCACAUUGACUUUCUGAUGAAUAAAGGAAAAAAUCGUAGGUGAUAAGGUGACGUUUGCAGAGCGGCGUCUAUUGAAUAUCAUACCUUUAUGUUUGAAGCUGAGACCGGCGAUAUUCCCAAGUAAUACGGCAGAUGAAGACACAAGUUUUAGUAAGGGAGGGCUCCUGCAGAGAUCAAUUCACGGACGCUAAUGUUGCCUUGAAUUAUAGUAUGAUAACCGACAGAGUGACGUUUGCAGAGCGGCGUCUAUUGAAUAUCAUACCUUUAUGUUUGAAGCUGAGACCGGCGAUAUUCCCAAGUAAUACGGCAGAUGAAGACACAAGUUUUAGUAAGGGAGGGCUCCUGCAGAGAUCAAUUCACGGACGCUAAUGUUGCCUUGAAUUAUAGUAUGAUAACCGACAGAGUAAGUUUGUAUUAUAUGAUUAGUGUUUGUGAAGUUAAGUUGUAAAUCAAGUCGGAGGUUUUGUGAUGUAUAAGUAUAAUGUCUUGAUAAAUGAUUCAAAUUUCUGAUUGUCUCUAAAUAGACUUAGUGAAGACAGAUUCUAAUAGAAAUAAAUAGUUGAAUAACGUAUCGACAUAACUACGUCAUACUCAUAUCCUCAAUAAAUGUAAUGGAUUUGUAGUGUUGUAAUUAGUUUAAGCUAA
Bolinopsis microptera is the source of this 775-nucleotide long non-coding RNA. RefSeq lists it as uncharacterized. Lineage: Eukaryota; Metazoa; Ctenophora; Tentaculata; Lobata; Bolinopsidae. The transcript is spliced from 3 exons. The record is from RefSeq and is a predicted model, not a curated record.